GGAAGCGCUGUAAAAAAGAAAAAAGUAAAAACAGAGAGGUGUUAAGUGGCGCACGCCGUGAGCGUAGAGGAAAUGGAACGCGCAGACGUGACGAACGCUCCGCCUACAGCGCCCACGCCGCGCAGAAACAGCGUCACGCUCGCGUCUGAUCUCCAGCCACCGUUGUGUUUCACCCAAAACACACCUCGGGCCCCAGUAAAAUGGCCCCCUGCUGAAAGGAAGCCAGAAUCCUGGUUAAAGAAAUGACAGAUCCGUUUGCGGGUUCGUAAACAUGACAAAGAGGCUGUCUAUUGGCUACCUGUCCCUGUCCCCCCUCCCCCACCCCCCGAUUCAUUACUUUGUCGUUGAUACAUGUAAAAAAAAAAAAAAGGUAAGCAUGCGUCUUUGUCUCCUGGCUUAAUGAGCUCUUUAAAUGCAAGGUGGAAGAAAAGAUUUUGCGCAGUGCCUGAAACAUGUUGGAAGUGCAAUGUGGUGCUGGGUGCUGUGACUGGCGGGGGUGCAAUAUAACGGGUGAGGGAACUGGCCUUGUAGCCUAAGGGUCACAGGUUCGAUUCCUGGGUAGGACACUGCCGUUGUACCCUUGAGCAAGGUGCUUAACCUGCAUUGCUUCGCUAUACAUCCGGCUGUAUAAAUGGAUGCUAUACAAAAGCUGUGGAAGUCGCUCUGGAUAACGGCCUCUGUUAUUGCCUGUAAUGCAGUGUAAUGCAGUGUAAUGUAAUGUAAUGCAGUGUAAUGUAGUGUAAUGUAAUGUAAUGUAAUGCAGUGUAAUGUAAUGUAAUGUAAUGUAAUGCAGUGUAAUGCAGUGUAAUGUAAUGCAGUGUAAUGCAGUGUAAUGUAAUGUAAUGUAAUGCAGUGUAAUGUAAUGUAAUGUAAUGCAGUGUAAUGUAACCCUGGCUCUGUGUUGCAGAAAGCUCACUCACGCUGGAUGGAGUAGGUCUUUCUCAGGAUGAAGCCCGAGCUGUGAUUGAGCCGGCACUCCAUGUUGUGGGCGACGGGGACGAGGAGCGACAGCGUGACGUGGGGGGCGGGGGUGUGGUUUUGGGCAGUCAGAACGUGCACGCCAUCCCGGAACACACUCAGGAGGAACCCGGGGUCCGGGGACACUUUGACGGAGCACAGCAGUUCGCUCACCAUCCCAGGGGCAAGGUCAAAGGUCAUAGAAUCUGGGGCAUGCGUGCACACGCACGCAUGCACGCACGCAGACACACGCACGCACACGCACACACACACACACACACAGAAGAAGCAUGAAAAAUGUACUAGGUUAGCUACAUGGUCCAAAUUGUGGUUGGGGAUUUUCACUCUGUUACAAGGUUAUUGGGGGGGGGUCUAAGGGAAAUCAUCAAGUGGUCCCCCCCCAAUAUUAUCACGUUGUAUUGGCUGUUUGUUGUCUCCCCCAAAAUUGAAA
Long non-coding RNA from Anguilla rostrata (American eel), 1408 nucleotides. RefSeq lists it as uncharacterized. Lineage: Eukaryota; Metazoa; Chordata; Actinopteri; Anguilliformes; Anguillidae. The record is from RefSeq and is a predicted model, not a curated record. The transcript is spliced from 2 exons.